Molecule: long non-coding RNA, 1216 nt
Filed under: Cairina moschata (Muscovy duck)
Lineage: Eukaryota; Metazoa; Chordata; Aves; Anseriformes; Anatidae
Description: domestica (muscovy Duck (domestic type)) lncRNA (ENSCMMG00000003418.1)
Source: RNAcentral
GCAAUCGCUGCCUGGGCGCCGCCGCCGCCCCCGGGGCUGCUCCGGCCGUGGCCCGAGUUUGGGGUGAAAAGAGCCCGGUUUGGGGGUCGUCCAUGGGGGAUUUUACCCCGGGCAUCUCUCGCACAGCCCGGCUGGGCUCGGUGCCGGCGCGCAUCCAGCUCGGCGCGGGGCUUGGCAAAUAACGCCCGCGGUGCCAAAACAGGACGCAGGCUGCUGUGCCCCCUCGGUUGGCACCAAACCUCCAGCAUCGGCGCUGCACAAACCUGGCGCCCCGCUCUGCCAAAAGCUCUGGCGUUGGGCCCUCGGCAGCGGAGAGCCGGGAGGCGCGGCGGUGCUGCCGCCAGACCUCGCCGCUCGCUAACGGGGCGCAGCGGCUGCGCCGUCAGCUCUGAUCCACACAAGCUGUUCCUCGCUCCGCGGCGUGCGGCCGGGUCACCCGGCUGUCUGCGUGCUGCUCGCCCCCGCCGUCUGUCCGUGUCCCCGCCGUCUGUCCGUGCCCCCGGCAGGCCCUUGGCAGGCUUUGGGGGCUGCUCCGCGUGCGGGGCCGGCUCGGAGCCAGCUCAGCCCGUGCUGGGUUCGUUCCCAAGGCCGGGGGCCCCGGUGCUGGCUGCUGCAGCGAGGGGUCCCGGGGGAGGCCGGGGAGGGUUUUGCUGCUGGCGUGCACGUGCGGAGCUGGGCCUGCAUCAGCAGCCAGAGGUGCGUCCCGAAGCCGCUUCCUUUUCUGCAAUACGCAUUUUGGGUGCUUUGCACACCUUGGCUGAGCGCUGCUGGAGGUCUGAACAGCCCCCGGGCUCCGGGAAAAGGGGGGAGCUCGGGGGGAGCUCGGGGGGAGCUCAGCCUUCCUGUCCUGCAGCCCUCCCUGAGCCCCGAUUCCCACUUUUGCUGCAGGGGACGUUCAGCCUGGAGGCGCUGCUCCCACCCUGCCUGCGGGCUGGGGCCCUGAUAAGGAGGGGAAAUCGCUCUGCUUGGAACAGGAGCAACGCUCUGUGAAGGGAUGGGGUGCUCAGGGGGGAGCAGAGCUGCCCCAGCCUGUGCUCCCACCCAUGCAGGGCUCCUAAAAUUGGUCCUGCUGCCCCUCCACGGCUGACAGCAGGACGGGGGGACCAUGGCAGGGAGGGCACCGCGCUCGGAGCUGAGCAGAGCUGGCUCCCACCACUGGGCAGAGCCCUGAGGAGCUCCCAGUCUGAGCAGCACCAAGCCACAAAACCAAUCUGCC